CGUGUAGGCGGUCCGGUAAGUCAGAUGUGAAAGCCCUGGGCUCAACCCAGGAAGUGCAUUUGAAACUACCGGACUUGAGUACGGGAGAGGAGGGGGGAAUUCCCGGCGUAGAGGUGAAAUUCGUAGAUAUCGGGAGGAAUACCAGUGGCGAAGGCGCCCCUCUGGACCGAUACUGACGCUGAGACGCGAAAGCGUGGGGAGCAAACA
This 207-nucleotide ribosomal RNA is filed under the name uncultured bacterium. RNAcentral describes it as "partial 16S ribosomal RNA". It matches the Rfam family "Bacterial small subunit ribosomal RNA", at positions 568 to 774 of the family's 1533-position model. The record is from RNAcentral.